RNAcentral lists this ribosomal RNA (612 nucleotides) under Cicindela (Rivacindela) sp. JP-70. RNAcentral's name for it is "partial 16S ribosomal RNA". It matches the Rfam family "Bacterial large subunit ribosomal RNA", at positions 1844 to 2739 of the family's 2925-position model. Lineage: Eukaryota; Metazoa; Arthropoda; Insecta; Coleoptera; Carabidae. The record is from RNAcentral.
UUUAAGGUCUAACCUGCCCAAUGAGGAUUUAAAUGGCCGCAGUAUUUUGACUGUGCAAAGGUAGCAUAAUUAUUAGUUUUUUAAUUGAAAGCUUGUAUGAAGGGUUGGACGAGAUAAAAUCUGUCUUUAUUUAAAUCAAAGUAUAAUUUAACUUUUAAGUUAAAAGGCUUAAAUGUUUAUAAAAGACGAGAAGACCCUAUAGAUCUUUAUUUAAUUAAGAUUUUAAUAAUUUAGGAUUAUUUUAAUUUGGAGUUUUAAUUAAAUUUUAUUGGGGUAAUAUAAAGAUUAAAUAAAUUCUUUUUAUUUAUAACAUUAAUUUAUGAAUAUAUGAUCCAUUAAUAUUGAUUAUAAGAUUAAGUUACCUUAGGGAUAACAGCGUAAUUUUUUUGGAGAGCUCAUAUCGAUAAGAAAGUUUGCGACCUCGAUGUUGGAUUAAAAAUUAGCUUGGGUGCAGAAGCUCAAGAUUUUGGUCUGUUCGACCAUUAAAUUUUUACAUGAUCUGAGUUCAGACCGGCGUAAGCCAGGUCGGUUUCUAUCUUUAUUUAGAUAAAAUAUUUUAGUACGAAAGGACCAAGUAUUUAAUAUAAUUAUAUUUAUUUUUUGAAGAAUAUU